UACGGGGGGGGUAAGCGUUGUUCGGAAUUACUGGGCGUAAAGGGCUCGUAGGCGGCCAACUAAGUCAGACGUGAAAUCCCUCAGCUUAACUGGGGAACUGCGUCUGAUACUGGAUGGCUUGGAUCCGGGAGAGGGAUGCGGAAUUCCUGGUGUAGCGGUGAAAUGCGUAGAUAUCAGGAGGAACACCGGUGGCGAAGGCGGCCCUCUGGACGGUGACUGACGCUGAGACGCGAAAGCGUGGGGAGCAAACAGG
This 253-nucleotide ribosomal RNA is filed under the name uncultured bacterium. RNAcentral describes it as "partial 16S ribosomal RNA". It matches the Rfam family "Bacterial small subunit ribosomal RNA", at positions 524 to 776 of the family's 1533-position model. The record is from RNAcentral.